GACGAACGCUGGCGGCGUGCUUAACACAUGCAAGUCGAACGGAAAGGCCUGCUUUUGGGGGGUGCUCGAGGUGCGAACGGGGUAAUAAAACGGGAGUAACCUGCCCUUGACUUUUGGAUAACUUCAGGGAAAUGGGGCUAAUAACGGGUAAGGACUCCUGCUGCAUGGGGGGGGUUGGGAAAUUUCGGCGGUUGGGGAUGGACUCGCGGCUUAUCAGCUUGUUGGUGGGGUAGUGGCUUACCAAGGCUUUGACGGGUAGCCGGCCUGAGAGGGUGACCGGCCACAUUGGGACUGAGAUACGGCCCAGACUCCUACGGGAGGCAGCAGUGGGGAAUAUUGCACAAUGGGCGGAAGCCUGAUGCAGCAACGCCGCGUGCGGGAUGACGGCCUUCGGGUUGUAAACCGCUUUCGCCUGUGACGAAGCGUGAGUGACGGUAAUGGGUAAAGAAGCACCGGCUAACUACGUG
RNAcentral lists this ribosomal RNA (467 nucleotides) under uncultured bacterium. RNAcentral describes it as "partial 16S ribosomal RNA". It matches the Rfam family "Bacterial small subunit ribosomal RNA", at positions 28 to 507 of the family's 1533-position model. The record is from RNAcentral.